This 72-nucleotide transfer RNA is filed under the name Lachnospiraceae bacterium OF09-6. RNAcentral describes it as "tRNA-Gln". It matches the Rfam family "tRNA". Rfam says of the family: Transfer RNA (tRNA) molecules are approximately 80 nucleotides in length. The record is from RNAcentral. Lineage: Bacteria; Bacillati; Bacillota; Clostridia; Lachnospirales; Lachnospiraceae.
UGGGCCGUCGCCAAGCGGUAAGGCACAGCACUUUGACUGCUGCAUUCACCGGUUCAAAUCCAGUCGGCCUAG